AAGUCGUAACAAGGUUUCCGUAGGUGAACCUGCGGAAGGAUCAUUAAAGAAUUCGGCUUCGCGGCCAAGUUCUCACCCUUUGUAUACCGAAACCAUGUUGCUUUGGCAGCCCAUUCUUCGGCCUGGCCAGCAGGUUGAUAAAUCCACUAGAAUCUCUGCUGUCUGAGUACUAUACAAUAGUUAAAA
This 186-nucleotide unclassified non-coding RNA is filed under the name plant metagenome. Its description in RNAcentral is "partial contains small subunit ribosomal RNA and internal transcribed spacer 1". The stretch from base 1 to 46 matches the Rfam family "Eukaryotic small subunit ribosomal RNA", at positions 1786 to 1831 of the family's 1831-position model. The record is from RNAcentral.